AAGUUCGCUUCCGAAUUCUCUUUCGAACGGCAGAGACUAAUCUAUCUAUCUCUCUUUCUCUUUCUUGUUGUUAUAGCCAGAUUCUCUUCUUUAUCAGACGUGUGCCUACAAAUUGAGGAAAGGAGGAGGUGGAGUAAGAAGGCAAAACUAUUCACGUCAUACGGCCGAUGACGUCGGCUGUCUUGCAACUCGAGAUGCAACUCCGAUUUCGAGAAAUAAUCGAAGGCGUUCGAUUAUCGAAAUAAUCUCGUUCAAUAUCCUUCUUCCAUGACAGUUGACGAUACAAGAGUACAAACAAGUACGAAGUGACAUGCGGUCUACUAAUCUUCAUUAAAACAAGUAAUAUGUAAGAUAUAAUUGGAUUGUAAGUUUUAGUUAAUAAUUAGGUUAGUUAAGAAAUAAAUUCGAAUAUGUUUGAA
RNAcentral lists this long non-coding RNA (419 nucleotides) under Polistes fuscatus (common paper wasp). Its description in RNAcentral is "uncharacterized LOC122525618, transcript variant X1". The record is from RNAcentral. Lineage: Eukaryota; Metazoa; Arthropoda; Insecta; Hymenoptera; Vespidae.